RNAcentral lists this long non-coding RNA (630 nucleotides) under Lathyrus oleraceus (garden pea). RNAcentral's name for it is "Pisum sativum (pea) long non-coding RNA (PSAT_LNC014203)". Lineage: Eukaryota; Viridiplantae; Streptophyta; Magnoliopsida; Fabales; Fabaceae. The record is from RNAcentral.
UCGAUUUGACAUUCGGUGGUUUAGAAUAUUUAGAAAAUACGGAAUAUAGUUAUUUUUCGUUGGGAAAGCAAGAUGUUUAAUCUUUAGAUGAAUUUGAUUAUUGGCUCGAGUAGGAAGUGAGUUCACUCUCAUGCUCUGGUCUCUGACUUUUCUUUGUUUGACUUAUAGCAAAACUCGCUCUAAUGCCCACACUUUUAGAGGUGUGUCGUGUGACUAGUUGUCUUUCUUCUUUUUUUAUAGGUGGUCAAGUCUACCUCCCUUUCCCUUCAGCUUGCUCUUUUUUGGUGGUAUGUUGUUUCGUGUCUUUGAGUAGGCUCGUUUUUAUGGAGUAAUUUUUUUUCUUGGUGUUUUAAUGUAAGUGGAAAUAUUUUUUUGUUUUGUUUUUUUAGAAUUGAAGACAGGAUUUAGAAACAUGUGACUUUUGUCUAAGAAGAAGUAAGAUAACAUAUAUAAAAUGUAAGUUCAACUAAAUGAGAAGUGUUUCGAAUUUAUAUGUGAAAGUUGGAAGUCAUAUCAUCUCACAAGUCACGCGGUUUAAAUAUCUUGGGUCUAUGUUACAAAAUGAUAGAGAAAUAGAAGAGGAUAUAAAUUAUCAAAUGCAAGAUGAGUGAAUGAAAUGGAUGAAGGCUU